UUUCCGGUUGAUCCUGCCGGAGGUUACUGCUAUCGGGGUUCGACUAAGCCAUGCGAGUCAAAUGUUCUUCGUGAACAUGGCGUACUGCUCAGUAACACGUGGAUAACCUACCCUUAGGUCCGGGAUAACCCCGGGAAACUGGGGAUAAUACCAGAUAAAUCAUGGAUGCUGGAAUGCCCUAUGGUUCAAAGCUCCGGCGCCUAAGGAUGGGUCUGCGGUCUAUCAGGUUGUAGUGGGUGUAACGUACCUACUAGCCGAUGACGGAUACGGGUUGUGAGAGCAAGAGCCCGGAGAUGGAUUCUGAGACACGAAUCCAGGCCCUACGGGGUGCAGCAGGCGCGAACACUUUACAAUGCGGGAAACCGCGAUAAGGGAACCCCGAGUGCCAGCACCAAGUGUUGGCUGUCCAGAUGAUUAAAACUCAUUUGUUAGCAAGGGCCGGGCAAGACCGGUGCCAGCCGCCGCGGUAACACCGGCGGCCCGAGUGGUAACCGUUUUUAUUGGGUCUAAAGGGUCCGUAGCCGGCCUGAUAAGUCUCUUGGGAAAUCUGGCAGCUUAACUGUCAGGCUUCUAAGAGAUACUGUCAGGCUUGGGACCGGAAGAGGUAAGGGGUACUCCAGGGGUAGGAGUGAAAUCUUGUAAUCCUUGGGGGACCAUCUGUGGCGAAGGCGCCUUACCAGGACGGGUCCGACGGUGAGGGACGAAAGCUAGGGGAGCAAACCGGAUUAGAUACCCGGGUAGUCCUAGCCGUAAACGAUGCUCGCUAGGUGUCAGGCACGGUGCGUCCGUGUUUGGUGCCGCAGGGAAGCCGUGAAGCGAGCCACCUGGGAAGUACGGUCGCAAGGCUGAAACUUAAAGGAACUGGCGGGGGAGCACCACAAGGCGUGAAGCUUGCGGUUCAAUUGGAGUCAACGCCGGG
This 919-nucleotide ribosomal RNA is filed under the name uncultured archaeon. RNAcentral's name for it is "bacterial SSU rRNA". It matches the Rfam family "Archaeal small subunit ribosomal RNA", at positions 1 to 922 of the family's 1478-position model. The record is from RNAcentral.